GACGAACGCUGGCGGCGUGCUUAACACAUGCAAGUCGAGCGGAAAGGCUCCUUCGGGGGUACUCGAGCGGCGAACGGGUGAGUAACACGUGAGUAAUCUGCCCUUGGCUUCGGGAUAACUACCGGAAACGGUGGCUAAUACCGGAUAUGACCACUCCUUGCAUGAGGUGGUGGUGGAAAGUUUUUUCGGCCAGGGAUGUGCUCGCGGCCUAUCAGCUUGUUGGUGGGUAAUGGCCUACCAAGGCUUCGACGGGUAGCCGGCCUGAGAGGGUGACCGGCCACACUGGGACUGAGACACGGCCCAGACUCCUACGGGAGGCAGCAGUGGGGAAUAUUGGACAAUGGGCGGAAGCCUGAUCCAGCAACGCCGCGUGAGGGAUGAC
RNAcentral lists this ribosomal RNA (382 nucleotides) under uncultured bacterium. Its description in RNAcentral is "bacterial SSU rRNA". It matches the Rfam family "Bacterial small subunit ribosomal RNA", at positions 28 to 412 of the family's 1533-position model. The record is from RNAcentral.